AAGAGUACCGGAGCUCUCGGGUUCCUACUCCCACCCUAUGUUGACUUUAAAAUGUUGCUUUGGCGGACCGGCAGCAUUGCCACUGGCCUAGGCUGGAUAGCGUCCGCCGGAGGAUUUUUAAAUUCCUUUGAAGGUAAAUUCUGAGUCUUUGAAAAUUGAAUCA
This 163-nucleotide unclassified non-coding RNA is filed under the name uncultured Dothideomycetes. Its description in RNAcentral is "sequence contains ITS1". Lineage: Eukaryota; Fungi; Ascomycota; Dothideomycetes. The record is from RNAcentral.